RNAcentral lists this ribosomal RNA (163 nucleotides) under Jatropha sp. JEICCG038. RNAcentral describes it as "5.8S ribosomal RNA". It matches the Rfam family "5.8S ribosomal RNA". Rfam says of the family: 5.8S ribosomal RNA (5.8S rRNA) is a component of the large subunit of the eukaryotic ribosome. It is transcribed by RNA polymerase I as part of the 45S precursor that also contains 18S and 28S rRNA. The record is from RNAcentral. Lineage: Eukaryota; Viridiplantae; Streptophyta; Magnoliopsida; Malpighiales; Euphorbiaceae.
AAAAACACUCUCGGAAAGAGAUAUCUCGUCUCUCGUAUCUAAGAAAAACGCAGAAAAGUGAUAUACGUGGUGUGAUUUGCAGAAUCCCGCAAACCCUCGAGUCUUUGAACGCGAUUUGCGCCCAAACUCUUUCGGCAGAGGGCACCCGUGCGUGGGUGUCACG